Equus caballus (horse) is the source of this 5307-nucleotide long non-coding RNA. The record is from Ensembl. NCBI's taxonomy places the organism in Eukaryota, Metazoa, Chordata, Mammalia, Perissodactyla, Equidae.
GGAGGGCCAGUGCCCUUCACAUGCCCGGCCACCCUCUCGGCCUCUGUCAUCAGCAUGGCCAGGACUCCAGGGCCAGGCUCCACUCAGUGGGGGUUGGGGGGAGGGCCAUGAUUCUUUGAAGACGACCCGGGACCUGACACUAAGCUCUGCUGACAGCACUAGCUCACCUGUGCCUGCCUCCUGACCUUCAGGGCCAGCUCCUGACUGGCUGCCUCCACCUGCAGAAGCCCACCUGGCCUGGGGCCCUAGUGCGCUCAGAGCUGUGGGGAUGGGGACAAGUGUCUCCAGUGCCCAGGGAGGCUGAGCGAGCUGCCCGAGGAGAAAUGGGGCAUUCGUGGGGCAGCCCUAGGGCCUGGGUGCCCUGUGCCAGCCGGGCUCUGUCUGUGAUGUCCAUGUGGCCCUGCCACCUUUGGCCACCCUGGGCUACGACGACCCAGCAGGGUCUCACUGAGGGGUCAUCUCAGGUAUGGUGCAGUGCCCUGAGGAGGAAGGGCCAAGGGCCAGCAAGGCUGUAAAAACACUUUGUGGAGGACCCAGGGCCUGGGGACUGGAAGCCCUUGUCCCCACAGGGGGUGGAUGUCACCCAACAUCAUGCCUCAAAACCCCAUGUUUUCCUGACCUCACCGGGGAGCGAACCAGGCCGGGGUCUGCUGUGUGACCUCGGGCCUGAGCACGUGCUGGGCUUCGGUCUCCCCACAGGGACAGGCAGCUGUGGGUGUCUGAGCACAGGCUCCAGACGAGUAGCUCCCUGCCCUACCCCAACCCUGGGUCCCGUGGGUCUGACCCAAUUCCCCCUCCAGACAGGGCGUCCCGCCAUCAGCCAUCCAUUCACUCCUUCAUCUACAAGAUGCUCUUCUGCAUCCCCAGGGUCAGUGCCCAGCAACCACCUGUGGAAUGAAUGAAGGAGUAGGCAUGAAUGAAUGAGUGAGGUUUGGAGGGGAGCAGCCCUGUGCACUGGGGUGUGAGUGGGGUUGGGGCUGUCCGUCUGUGCAUGUGUGCAUGCAAAAGUGUGUGCUCCCCUCCAGGCACCAGCUGCAGCCGCCCUCCCUUCCCCCACCUCAGCCCCCCCUAAUUUAUGCCACUUGCUGGUCCCCCGCCUGGCAGCAGCUUUGUCCCCAGGCGGAUUCCCAACGGCCGCCUUUGGGAAGAAAGGGCCCUUCUCUGGCUGGUGGUGAGUCACCAGGAGGGGCUGGGCACACACAAAGGCCUCAGCCCCCCUCCCCACCCUGCUGGCAGCUGCCUCUUUGUCCCCAGCUCUCAGCCUAGGAGAGACCCCAAGAGGCCCCUCUGAGGCCUUGGUGAGGCCUGGGCUUCCUUCCCAGGAAGUGGAUGGAGUGGGGGAAGGGAAGGAAGCAGCCCUCUCCCCGGCUUUGCUCCUGUUAAGUCACCGCACCUGUCGAGGUGCAGACUCUACCCCAGAUGCCAUGCUGGGCCCCGUGGCAGCUGUGGGGCUCUCGGCCCAGUGCAGGGGUCUGUGUUCAGCUGUCUGUCUGGGUCCCCAGGUCAAGCCAGCAAGCUUGAGGGGUGGGAGGCUGCAGGAAGGGGAAGGGGAGCCUGAGGUGUUAGGAGGCAGCCCAGGCAGCGGCAGGCAGCUCAGCCCCUGGCCUGGAGUGGGCUCGGUCACGGGAGGGGCUCUGGGGGUGAUAUUCCUUACCCUCAGCUGCUGAAACCAGUAUCUCUCUGGAUCCCAUGACGCCUGGCAGGUGUAUUUGUGCAUUUGUCUGUGUGCAUACGUGUGUGUGGCGUGUGGUGGGGUGAGGGGCUGGCAGGCCUGGGCACCCCUGGCACUUCCCCAUUGGCUCUCAAGGAAACCCCACAAACCCAGCUGGGGAGCUCCUGUGGGUACCGUACUCCAUAGGGCAUGUGGGCUGAGGCUCAGAGAGGGCAAGUCAGUUUGCCCAAAGCCACCCAGCCCCCAAGGGGUGGGGCUGUGAGAAACCUGCCCCUCUUCUGCCUUCCUGCUUUUCCCAACUGCCCACAUGAAGGUGAGGUGAAGGCGGGUCACCUCCUCCAGACUGCACUAGGCAUCUCCUGUGCAGGGACCAGGGAGCCAGCCCAGUGGGGGUCAGCGGAGAUACAGCAGAGUGACAAAAGCUGUGAAAAGCAGCAGUGGGGAACCCGAGAGCGCAAAAGGGUGGCGACAUUGCCUGGUGGGCGCUGCAGCUGCAUUUAUCCAGCGCCUGCCCUCUGUCGGGCCCAGCACAGGGGGGAUCCAAACACGUUCCUGGACUGCAAGGAAUGUGCAGUUUAGCUGGGACCCCGGAAACCACCAUUAGAUCAGAGACAGGCUAGCUGCCGUCCUGGGAUGUCAGUCACUUAGGGCUGUAGGGUGGAGGCCGCCCAGUGGGACUGAAGGUGCUAGAGGGGGCACUGCGAGGGCAAAGCCCUGGUGGCUGGACCCAGGAGCUCCGUCGCCAUCUAUGGGACUCAAAGGAUUGGCUCAGACCUCCCUCGCCUGCCCGCAGAGCCCGCUGCCCCAGCCGCCAGCUGGCAGCCCUCAGGCCUGGAGCUCCUUAGCAGUCUCUCCACGGAGGGAGGAAGUGGAGCCCAAGGGAGAAAACAAAACCCCUCAUCUUGUCCCAGACAAACAGAGGCCAGGCUGGACACUGGCGACGGCCGCAGGGGGCUCGGGGCCCUGCCAGGUGUGGCCGCAAGCAGAGCCAGCCUCGCCCAGGCUGGGCUCGAGGUGGGGGUGCUGAACACAAGGGCUGGGGACAGGGCAGGGAGUGGAGGGCCAGGGUCCCACCAAAAGCUCUAAGCUCUGGCCAGGACCCCCUGGGCGCCCUGCACUCGGACCUGGGGGACAGGCCAGGAAGCGUGACCAGAGGAGGCAGAGGCAAGGGGGAGGUGGCCGGCCCGGAGAGCUGGGUCAGCCCAGGUGCAGGCACCCCCACUGGCCACCCUCUGCCUGGACUCCCAGCUCGUGGGCCUGGACCACAGAGGGUGCUGGGAGGGGGAGCUGGGCAGCCAGUGCACCUUGAUGUCCCUGCCAGGCCGCCGGGCAGGGGAUGGGGGUGGCCUGGGCCCCCGGUCCUCCCCCCGCUGAGAAGCUUCUCCUCGGUUGCUUAGUGGCCGGAAUGUCCAUUGUGCCCGUAGCUUAGCAACAUGCUGCGGUCGCCCCCGCUGACCCUGCCCCGCAGCCGGCCGCUGGCAUUCCUCGGCAGGCCCACCCCUCCGCAGGCCGGGCCUCAUCCGCCUGAGUGUGUCCCAAGGCACAGAGCCGCCAGCAUCCUGUGUGCCCAGCACCCUGGGUGACUGAGGUUCCCAGCUCAGGCGGCCAUGGUUCUGCCAACUGCCACAUGCUGGCUACUUGCCCUGGUGGCACUCUUGGGAACCAUGAAAAGUCUGUGUUCAGAUCUUGUCACAUUCAGUGGUUCAUGCCCCUAUUUAGAUUCACUUUCCCGGCAAAUGUAAUGACAGUGACAGAAAGCAGCCGAGCUGCCUGCGGCCAGGUGGGGGAGAUGGACAGGAGGAGGCAGAGGGUUCACACAGGCACACACAUUGGUACAGGACUCCUGGAGCUGGACAGUGAAAUGGGUGUCAUCCAUUGUGUGUAAAUUAUACUGCAAUAAGAUGGAUUUCUAAGGAAAUAAAAGAAAGGAAAGAAGAAGAGUUGGAGAGAUUCUGGUUCCUCUGGCGUGACCGCUGGGCCCCCUACCCCCAGAGUUCCAGAUCCAGUAGUUCUGGGGCGGGGCCUGGAAUCUGCAUUUCCACUGAACUCACAGCGCACACUGAUGCCGCUGGUCCCGGGACCUCCUUUUGAGAACCUCAGCUCCAUGGACUUCACAAAUACCCGUGGCCAUAGUUUAGGAAUGGUUCUGUCACCCAGGACAUGAGAACCGCCUUGGUUUCUAAAGAUUAAAGAACCAAAACUAGUGUCUGGCACACAGGUAGCAGGAAAAAAACCCCCAUAUAUGUAUAUGUAUGUUCAUGUAGACAUAUAUGUAGCUGGGUAAGGGGUACUUACUAUGUUGUUACAAGGAUGGAUUUGGCACCCUGAGGUACCACUUGGUGGCAGUGUACCCAGGUGACAACAUGAACAUGGGCUCUGAGGACCUGUGACAUCACCCACCUCAGUCCUCUCAGGGCCUCUCUGGGAGGAGGAGGGUAAGACAUCAGGAAAAAAACUGGUGGGAAAUAAGAUGAAACAGGGUGAAGUUUUGUACACUCUUGCCAGAUGGGCAGUGAAUUUGGCUCUGAGCUUCCGAGUGGCUGAGGCAAAGAGGGAAGUAAGAUUAGGCAAAGUAGUACUUCUUCUUUUUGUGGAAGGUUAACUCUGAGCUAACAUCCGCUGCCAAUCCUCCUCUUUUUGCUGAGGAAGAUUGGCCCUGAGCUAAGAUCCCUGCCCAUCUUCCUCUGUUUUGUAUGUGGGACACUUGCCACAGCAUGGCUGAUGAGCGGUGCGGACGUCUGCACCUGGGAUCCUGGCUGGCGAACCUGGCGCUGCCAAAGUGGAACACGCAAACUUAACCGCUAUGCCACUGGGCCAGCCCCCAAACUAGUGCUUCCUGACCUUUAAUGCUGUUCAAAUCACCGGGGAAUCUGUCUAAAAUCCACCUUCUGAUUAGGAGGUCUUGGUGUGCAUGUGGGAGGGCACUGAGAUUCCAUGUCACCUAACAAGUCCUCCUGGAGACGUAGGUGCUGCCACCCACACACCAAAUUUUGAGUACAACUCAGUGUCCCUGGGAUGAAAAGCAGGCAGGAGAGCAGUCCCAUCCCUCCAGGUACCAAGAGCCCUGUGCAGCGUUGCAGCUCGCUGCGCCCAGCGCUCUCCGAGAGGAAGCCCUGAGGCCCCUCCGGGGCAGCGGCCCCAGGAGCUCCGCCUCUCUCAGCCAGGGUCAUGUCUGGGCACUUCAGCGGUCAGCCAAGACAGUGGCCAGCAGAGAGGGGACCGAAGCCCAGGCUGUGGGAGGACACUUGUGCUUCCCGGGGGAGGGGGAGGGCAGCUUGGCAGAAGUCGUCCUGGGAGGAUCCAUCAUGACAUUGCUGCAGAGGCAGGAAGUGGGGCUGCUGAGCCUUGGAUCAUGUUAAAGAAAAGGCCACCCGGCCUCUCUUCUUUCCCUGAAAUGCGCAUUUGACUUCAGGCAGUGAGGGACCUGACUCCAGAUGGUGUCCCAGGACACAGUGAUUUCUGUCCAUCUGUCCCGGGGCACCGGGACCUAAGCCUACGACUGGCUGUGCCUUGGCUGUGCUGGGCAGGCCGGGAGGAGGGGCCCAAGGCCCAUGGAGGGAACCGAGGGCUGAGGCGCAGGGGGUCCGCCUGUGCCCAGUGCUCCGGGGCUGGCCCACAUGGAGGCUUUGAGGGAG